RNAcentral lists this ribosomal RNA (517 nucleotides) under uncultured Staphylococcus sp. Its description in RNAcentral is "partial 16S ribosomal RNA". Lineage: Bacteria; Bacillati; Bacillota; Bacilli; Caryophanales; Staphylococcaceae. The record is from RNAcentral.
CACGUAGUUAGCCGUGGCUUUCUGAUUAGGUACCGUCAAGAUGUGCACAGUUACUUACACAUUUGUUCUUCCCUAAUAACAGAGUUUUACGAGCCGAAGCCCUUCAUCACUCACGCGGCGUUGCUCCGUCAGGCUUUCGCCCAUUGCGGAAGAUUCCCUACUGCUGCCUCCCGUAGGAGUCUGGACCGUGUCUCAGUUCCAGUGUGGCCGAUCACCCUCUCAGGUCGGCUACGUAUCGUCGCCUUGGUAAGCCGUUACCUUACCAACUAGCUAAUACGGCGCGGGUCCAUCUAUAAGUGAUAGCAAAACCAUCUUUCACUUUAGAACCAUGCGGUUCUAAAUGUUAUCCGGUAUUAGCUCCGGUUUCCCGAAGUUAUCCCAGUCUUAUAGGUAGGUUACCCACGUGUUACUCACCCGUCCGCCGCUAACUUCAAAGGAGCAAGCUCCUUAUCUGUUCGCUCGACUUGCAUGUAUUAGGCACGCCGCCAGCGUUCAUCCUGAGCCAGGAUCAAACUCU